GAUUACACUCUGAAUUCCCUUGUAGUGAGCUUACUUCUCUCCACCCACUUCUUACCAAGAACUCCUUAACUUGAGGGUGAACAACUUAAAGCUUGAUCCUACAGUUACCUGAAAAGUGAUUUGAGUAUUCAUUGAACUGAAAGAACAAAUCGCCUACUUCAGGCGGUGGCAAGCGUAUGGAAAUUAUAUUAGAACUUCAGCAAAGUGCACAGCUGCAUAAUAGAGAAGCCGGCACUCAGAUUGACAGGCAAAUAAGCCAGCUUGUGGAAGGGGCCUCUGGGUGGCAGCUCUGGGCUUUUGGGUGUUGGACAACCAUAGGCAAAACUGAAAUGGAACAGGGGCAGAAAAUAGCACACUUUUACUCUACGCAACUGUUGCUUUUUCAUGAUCUUCAGGAAUUUUACUGGGAUAAUUAUCCAAAUAAAUUGCAAGCAUUCUAUCCAAAUGGAGCUCUUUCUGAGAUGAAGAGAAUUCUCAAUGUCAAGAUUUGAACAAGAAGAGAAUGGAAUACACAAUAUGGACAUCCAUAAAAAUUCAUCAGAGAGCAUUUUACUACUGAGCUGCAAAGGGAAAAACUUAAAAUGGAUAUGAAAAGUGAAGAAAGUGAUCAUAGGAGAAAACCAUUUCAGAUGACAAGAGCACCUCAAAGGCAGCAGCCUCAAGGAGCAGCCAUGGCCCCAGACUUGUCGCACGGAUGCAGAAAACUUAAUGGAGGAGGCUGAGGUCAGAAUGGGAAGAGUUUUUAAAAAAUAAAAAGGGGAGCUAAUAUGUGAGGAACUGAUUGCUGUGCAUUAUUUUCCACUGAACAGACCUUCUUUUAACUUCUAAUCUCAAGCACAUAGCAGCUGUUGUUUUCAUAUUAAAGAUCAGUAAGUGUUUGUUGAAUGAAUGUAUAAAUUCUUCCCCAAUCUCUGUUCCAUGUAAUAAGAACUAAGUUAGCAUUCAAUUAUAAAGAGGACUUAGAAAGUCUGCAGACAUUUUUGAUCAAAAAUCCUUUUAACUGUCUUCUUAUGGUUCCCGGUAACACCUAAGCCCAAAAAACUCAGGUCAUUUCUUGCCUGUACUGUUGCAAUAGCCUCAUAAUAACUAGUCUUCUCCUUUAUCAACCACAGUCGUCUCCGCUACACAAAGAAGAGAGGGUGCUAAUCUAAAGUGUAAAUUAUUUUAAAUCAGCACCCUUCUUGUAAUUUCCCAGUGGUUUUUCCUGUCAUAAGAAUAACAUGCAAAAUUCCUUGCUUGCAAAGCCAGGUAUGACCUUGCCCCGUCUACCUUACUGGCAUCGUCUCUCAUGACUCUUCCCCUUUUUCACUCUCCAUCUUGCCUUUUCCCAACCAUGCCUGCUAGUGAGCCUUAGCCCUUGUGUUUUCUCUGCCAGGGAUGCAUGACUGGCUUCUUUACUUUAUUCUGAUCUCUCUGCUCAAAUGUCAUCUUUUUAGAGAUAGCUUUCCUAAACAUCUUUAAAAGUACCCCAUGAACUGUGAAACACCUUUCCUGCUUUUUCUUCAUAGUACUUAUCACUUCCUGAUAUUAUGUUAGACAACAAGCAAAUAAGUAUAUGCUGUUCCCACUAAAAUAUAAGCUCCAUUUGAACAGGAGCCUUGAUUAUUCCUGAGUAUACCCCUAGUGCCCAGAACCUAGUAGGGCUUUAAUAAAUAUUAGAUUCAUUUGUUGAAUGAAAAAAUGAAUGAAUAAUUGAAUAAAGAUAUCCAGGUAGAGUGUCCGGGCAGCCCAACCUAUGUGAAGCCAGUACAAGAAUGUUUCUGUGACAUAGUGAGCGCAAUUAUUCCUCUAAAUGAUGAACUUGCAUGAGUACACAAGGAUAAAAUUAAGCACGUAGUUUAGAUUUCUGCAAGUCUCUUCCUCAGAUUGAGGAAAAACAAAGAAAUUGAGCUUAUUCUCACCUCAUUCUUACAUGAACUAAAUCCAGAAUAAAGCAUCAUUUAAAUACCAAGCACAUCCCUACCUCAGCCACUCAUGGAAUACUUUAUCUGUAAAGGGACAGAUAGAUAGUAAAUAUUUUUGGCUUUGGGGACCGUACAGUCUGUGUCGCCACUACUCAGCACUUCUGUUGAGGUGUGGAAUCAGCCCUAGACAACACAUAAACAAAUGGGUGUGGCUGUGUUCCAAUAAAAUGUUAUUUAUAAAACUAGGAAAUCAGCAGAUUUAGUCCACAGGCUGUAGUUUGCUGACCCUUGAAUUAGAGAGUCUUCCCCAAAUCCUCUUCCCAAGUUAUUGAAAGAAUGCCCAUAGGACCAUAGCUCCCUCACCUGGUUCUUUCAAGAAAUGAGACAAAUUCAGGGAUGGUUGGAGGGUGGAACGCCUACCUGUGACAUGACUAUUGAGCCUGAUUUCUUUCCUUUUAUCUCUUUAAAGUGAGUCAGGUCUUAACUUUAAACUGUCUCUAAAGUGGCAAUAACUGGGCCAUGUCAAAUACUCCCAAUGACAAAAUUUCUUCUUGGAGAAUGAAUGAGGGUUGCAUACAGUGGUGUGUUGGUAAAUGUUUAGCAACUGGCUCUCUUACUGAUUUCUGUAGUGUAAAUUCUCCCAUCCUGGCCAUCUGAAACUACCAAUAUGAUGUCACUUGAUGUAGAGUUGGGAAAAGACAGUCUCUUGAAUAAGUAUGAGCUGGUUCCAGCCCACUGCUGAACACAUAUUUAAAAGCUACAAUAGCUCUGCUCACUGCCAUUGCAGAGUCUGGAGGAAAGAGUAGCAGGCUUGAUAGGAGCAAUUGGCUGAAUAAUCUUUUGCAAUGCCAAUAAAUAAUGAAAAAGUAUAUAAAUAUAACGCUGUAUAGAAAGCUCUCAAGUUCAGUGUUUGGUUAAAAUACAUACUCAGUAAAUGGUAGCUAUUAUUGUCUUAGUUUAAGUUAUUGCAAGCAUUAAAAUUAAAUGUUUAGCUACAGACUCAAUCCAGUUUUAAUGUCAUUGUGUUAAUAAGGCCUCUUAACAUUGAAGCAACAAAGAUAAAGGAAUUUUUUUGUAGCUAUUCACGAUUCUGCCCAGCUCAAGGUAAAGAUAGCAACAAAAUACUCCAACCAGAAUAAAAGAAGUCUCCACUUGACUGCAGCUCUUCGCAACACUUCACAAGGGUCAAGCUGUGUUAGUUUCCUUCAGUGUUAAACAGAAUGCAUCUUAAGAGAAUAGUUCAAUUAUUGAUUGAAUAGUAGGUUCAAGUUGACUAUAAUCCCAACUAAUACACUCUAAGACCAGGGAUGGGCCGACAGAAGGGUAAAGUUUUCCACUCAAGUCUCGAGGCAAACACUCAGAUAGAAGUAGUAAUAUGGAUGCCUUCUAUUAUUUGGUCACAUACAAUACUGUUCCAGCCCAGUUGUGCAAAACUGGUGAAAUAAAAGGCAAAAAUAUUGACAACAGUUUGGGUAACUGGAUUCCAAAAUGGGCAUCCAUCUAAGAGAAAUUAAUGAAAAAAAAGCAUAUGGACCUUGAAAUACAUUAAUACACAGUUUAGGUUUAAACACUCAGUUUUUAUUAGAAAAGACUAACUUAUCCUGUUUUGAACACUACAAAAGUGCUUUCUGAACCAUUUACUCUCAAACCUCCUCCACCCAUUCCCCUCCAUCUAUAACGCUUUCUGCACAUCUGUAAAAGGUAUGACUUAGUGUUUGGUCUGUGAAAUAAGGUUAAAAAGGAAGCAUUUCUUUUUACAUUCUAGCUAAUGUUGAUAUUUUUCUCAUGCUUCUAUUAGCACAUAAUUCAGAUACAUUAGUUUUGAAGUUUUGAAUCUUCUCUGCUUCUUGAGGGCUCUCUGUUCUAGAUCAACAUGAUCUGUGGAACACCAGCCAAGUCCUGGGCAGAACCCUCCCCGUUGUCCAAAUAUUACUGAAUCAGUUGAGUUUUCUCUGUUGUCAAUGAAUUAUUCCACAUGUUUCUUUGGCUACAUUUUUUUUGGCUUUCUGUUCACAGUAAAUAUAGCCUUUGUUUUUAAAAACUUCUAUUAUGAAAAUUCCAAAUAUAUGCAAAUUAGAGAGAAUAGCAUAAUGAACCUCUAUGUGCUUAUCACACAUAUAGGUUCAACUAAUUAAAUUAUAUCAAUUUAUGGCCAAUCUGGUUUCAUUUAUAACAUCAUUCGCUCAUUCCUAACUCCCUGGAUUAUUUGAUUGACAUGUUUCUAAAGUUCCUUUUAAUCUGUAGGUUCCCCCUCUCAUUUAAUCUUUUGCAACUUAUUCAUUGAUGAAACUGGGUUAUUUGUCCUUUAUUGUUUCUCUCAUUCUGAAAUAUGCUGUAAUGUCAUUAACCAUAUUCUUCUUUCCUGUAUUUUCUGUAAGCUUUGAGCUAGGCAGAAAUAUUUUAAUCAGAUUCCUUUUUUUUUCUUUUAGCAAGAUUUCUUCAUAAAUAAUAUUGUAUGUGU
Molecule: long non-coding RNA, 4365 nt
Organism: Homo sapiens (human)
Lineage: Eukaryota; Metazoa; Chordata; Mammalia; Primates; Hominidae
Gene: MIR99AHG
Product: mir-99a-let-7c cluster host gene
Source: Ensembl